Molecule: ribosomal RNA, 485 nt
Filed under: uncultured Clostridiaceae bacterium
Lineage: Bacteria; Bacillati; Bacillota; Clostridia; Eubacteriales; Clostridiaceae
Description: bacterial SSU rRNA
Rfam family: Bacterial small subunit ribosomal RNA
Source: RNAcentral
GUAGUUCGAUCCUGGCUCAGGACACGCUGGCCGGCGUGCCUAACACAUGCAAGUCGAGCGAUGAAGUUCCUUCGGGAACGGAUUAGCGGCGGACGGGUGAGUAACACGUGGGUAACCUGCCGUUAUAGAGGGGGAUAGCCUUCCGAAAGGAAGAUUAAUACCGCAUAAAGUUGUUGAUUCGCAUGGAUCGAUAACCAAAGGAGCAAUCCGCUAUAAGAUGGACCCGCGGCGCAUUAGCUAGUUGGUGAGGUAGAAGCUCACCAAGGCGACGAUGCGUAGCCGACCUGAGAGGGUGAUCGGCCACAUUGGGACUGAGACACGGCCCAGACUCCUACGGGAGGCAGCAGUGGGGAAUAUUGCACAAUCGGGGGGAAACCCUGAUGCAGCAACGCCGCGUGAGUGAUGAAGGCCUUCGGGUUGUUAAAGCUCUGUCUUUGGGGACGAUAAUGACGGUACCCAAGGAGGAAGCCACGGCUAACUACGUG